UACGUAGGGUGCAAGCGUUAAUCGGAAUUACUGGGCGUAAAGCGUGCGCAGGCGGUUAUGUAAGACAGUUGUGAAAUCCCCGGGCUCAACCUGGGAAUUGCAUCUGUGACUGCAUAGCUAGAGUACGGUAGAGGGGGAUGGAAUUCCGCGUGUAGCAGUGAAAUGCGUAGAUAUGCGGAGGAACGCCGAUGGCGAAGGGCAACCC
This 205-nucleotide ribosomal RNA is filed under the name uncultured bacterium. Its description in RNAcentral is "partial 16S ribosomal RNA". It matches the Rfam family "Bacterial small subunit ribosomal RNA", at positions 524 to 727 of the family's 1533-position model. The record is from RNAcentral.